RNAcentral lists this long non-coding RNA (235 nucleotides) under Setaria italica (foxtail millet). Its description in RNAcentral is "long non-coding RNA (SITA_LNC001461)". Lineage: Eukaryota; Viridiplantae; Streptophyta; Magnoliopsida; Poales; Poaceae. The record is from RNAcentral.
GAAUCCGAGCCAACUGCUCCUAUUCAUCACAACGCGCAAACGCUUUCUCGUAAUUCCAUCUGACCAACUCAAGCCUGAGCAUCACUCCUAGAGAACCAGCUGCCCUGAAAAUAAGGGCAAAGCUAACGCUCGCUCGAGCGUUUCUUUGAGCUUGAGCACUCGAUUUUUUUCACUCCCCUAUCCGGCUGCUCCCCUGUGCCAAAGUGCUUCUUCUUCGAUUCCGGCAGAUCUCCGA